AUGUAUGAGCUCACCGUGUCUGUGUAUCGUUCCCAGGACCAGUUUGUAGUGGAUUUGUGGAGGUUUUUUGUUAUUUUUGAGUCCUUUGACGAGUAUUGUGAUACCCGUCCCGUCCUGACAGUGUCGCCCCCCUCCAGUGAGGAGCUACAGCAGGGGACUGCAACAAUCACAUGUCUGGCCAACAAGGGCUUCCCCUCAGACUGGAGUCUGUCCUGGAAGGUGGAUGGCAGUGGCAGCAUCAGCUGGGAGGAGAGCAGGAGCCCCGUGGUGCUGCAGAAUGACGGCCUCUACAGCUGGAGCAGCACCCUGAGGCUCCCUGCAGACCGCUGGAUGAAGGUGGGCUCUGUGACCUGUGAGGCCACCCAGGGCUGCCAGACUAUGGUCUCAGAGCCACUGAGGAGAGUCCAGUGUUCCCAGUCCUGACCUGACUCAACCUGAUACUGGUUUAAUGCUCUCAUUCUCAACUCUGUAACUGUCUCUCCAUCUUUCUUUUUUAAGAACAAAUAAAG
This is a non-coding RNA of Oreochromis aureus, 509 nucleotides long. NCBI's taxonomy places the organism in Eukaryota, Metazoa, Chordata, Actinopteri, Cichliformes, Cichlidae. The record is from the annotation of a RefSeq genome assembly.